RNAcentral lists this ribosomal RNA (299 nucleotides) under uncultured eukaryote. Its description in RNAcentral is "partial 18S ribosomal RNA". It matches the Rfam family "Eukaryotic small subunit ribosomal RNA", at positions 1470 to 1796 of the family's 1831-position model. The record is from RNAcentral.
CCCUUAGAUGUUCUGGGCUGCACGCGCGCUACACUGAUGCAUCCAGCGAGUUUUAACCUUGCUUGGUAAAGUUUGGUAAUCUGAGGCUAAUGUGCAUCGUGAUGGGAAUAGAGUUUUGCAACUAUUUAUCUUGAACGAGGAAUUCCUCGUAAGCACGAGUCAUCAGCUUGUGCUGAUUACGUCCCUGCCCUUUGUACACACCGCCCGUCGGUGAAUUGUUUGGAUUGCUGUCAGUCUUUUCGACCGUCGGCCAGAAGCUCUGUGAACCUUAGCACCUAGAGGAAGGAGAAGUCGUAACA